GAUGAACGCUGGCGGCGUGCCUAAUACAUGCAAGUCGAGCGAACGGACGAGAAUCUUGCUUUUCUGAUGUUAGCGGCGGACGGGUGAGUAACACGUGGAUAACCUACCUAUAAGACUGGGAUAACUUCGGGAAACCGGAGCUAAUACCGGAUAAUAUUUUGAACCGCAUGGUUCAAAAGUGAAAGACGGUCUUGCUGUCACUUAUAGAUGGAUCCGCGCUGCAUUAGCUAGUUGGUAAGGUAACGGCUUACCAAGGCAACGAUGCAUAGCCGACCUGAGAGGGUGAUCGGCCACACUGGAACUGAGACACGGUCCAGACUCCUAAGGGAGGCAGCAGUAGGGAAUCUUCCGCAAUGGGCGAAAGCCUGACGGGGCAACGCCGCGUGAGUGAUGAAGGUCUUCGGAUCGUAAAACUCUGUUAUUAGGGAAGAACAUAUGUGUAAGUAACUGUGCACAUCUUGACGGUACCUAAUCAGAAAGCCACGGCUAACUACGUG
Molecule: ribosomal RNA, 497 nt
Filed under: uncultured bacterium
Lineage: Bacteria
Description: partial 16S ribosomal RNA
Rfam family: Bacterial small subunit ribosomal RNA
Source: RNAcentral